CAGUAGCCGCGGGAAUACGUAGGUCCCGAGCGUUGUCCGGAUUUAUUGGGCGUAAAGCGAGCGCAGGCGGUUAGAUAAGUCUGAAGUUAAAGGCUGUGGCUUAACCAUAGUACGCUUUGGAAACUGUUUAACUUGAGUGCAGAAGGGGAGAGUGGAAUUCCAUGUGUAGCGGUGGAAUGCGUAGAUAUAUGGAGGAACACCGGUGGCGAAAGCGGCUCUCUGGUCUGUAACUGACGCUGAGGCUCGAAAGCGUGGGGAGCAAACAGGAUUAGAUACCCCGGUAGUCCCUGUCUCUUAUACA
RNAcentral lists this ribosomal RNA (301 nucleotides) under uncultured bacterium. RNAcentral describes it as "partial 16S ribosomal RNA". It matches the Rfam family "Bacterial small subunit ribosomal RNA", at positions 509 to 808 of the family's 1533-position model. The record is from RNAcentral.